GGGGAGAAUAAGGGUUCGACUCCGGAGAGGGAGCCUGAGAAAUGGCUACCACAUCCAAGGAUGGCAGCAGGCGCGCAAAUUACCCACUCUCAGUACGAGGAGGUAGUGACGAAAAAUAACAAUGCGGGACUCAUCAGAGGCCUCGCAAUUGGAAUGAGCGCACUUUAAUUCGUUCGACGAGGAUCUAUUGGAGGGCAAGUCUGGUGCCAGCAGCCGCGGUAAUUCCAGCUCCAAUAGCGUAUAUUAAAGUUGUUGCAGUUAAAAAGCUCGUAGUUGGAUCUGGGGUUCGGGUCGGCGGUUUGCCGCUUCGGCGGCUACUGCCGUGCUCGACUCUUACUAGCCGGUGCGUCUUGCGGUGCUCUUCAUCGAGUGCCGUAGGAGCCUGGCAUGUUUACUUUGAAAAAAUUAGAGUGCUCAAAGCAGGCGAUUCCGCCUGAAUAGUGUUGCAUGGAAUAAUGGAAUAGGACCUCGGUUCUAUUUUGUUGGUUUUCGGAACUUGAGGUAAUGAUUAAGAGGGACGGUCGGGGGCAUUCGUAUUUCGGUGUUAGAGGUGAAAUUCUUGGAUCGCUGAAAGACGGACAAAUGCGAAAGCAUCUGCCAAGAACGUCUCCAUUAAUCAAGAACGAAAGUCAGAGGUUCGAAGACGAUCAGACACCGUCCUAGUUCUGACCAUAAACGAUGCCAACUAGCGAUCCGCAGUGGUUGCUAUAAACGGACUCUGCGAGCAGCUUCCGGGAAACCAAAGUGUUUGGGUUCCGGGGGAAGUAUGGUUGCAAAGCUGAAACUUAAAGGAAUUGACGGAAGGGCACCACCAGGAGUGGAGCCUGCGGCUUAAUUUGACCCAACACGGGGAAACUCACCCGGUCCGGACACUGUAAGGAUUGACAGAUCGAGAGCCCUUUCUUGAUUCGGUGGAUGGUGGUGCAUGGCCGUUCUUAGUUGGUGGAGUGAUUUGUCUGGUUAAUUCCGAUAACGAACGAGACUCUAGCCUGCUAACUAGUUGCGCCGUGUUCAUACGCGGCUGUAGACUUCUUAGAGGGACAGGUGGCGUUUAGCCACACGAAAUUGAGCAAUAACAGGUCUGUGAUGCCCUUAGAUGUCCGGGGCCGCACGCGCGCUACACAGAAGGAGUCAGCGUGUGCUAUCCGGGCUCGGAAGAGUUCGGUAACCCGUUGAAACUCCUUCGUGCUUGGGAUUGUGGCUUGUAAUUAUCGCGCAUGAACGAGGAAUUCCCAGUAAGUGCAAGUCAUCAGCUUGCGCUGACUACGUCCCUGCCCUUUGUACACACCGCCCGUCGCUACUACCGAUUGAAUGGUUUAGCAAGGUACUCGGAUUGGUCUCGAUCUUGUACGAAAGUGCGGGAUCUGUGGCCGAGAAGAAGGCCAAACUUGAUCAUUUAGAGGAAGUAAAAGUCGUAACAAGGUU
This 1425-nucleotide ribosomal RNA is filed under the name metagenome. Its description in RNAcentral is "SSU rRNA". It matches the Rfam family "Eukaryotic small subunit ribosomal RNA", at positions 360 to 1801 of the family's 1831-position model. The record is from RNAcentral.